RNAcentral lists this unclassified non-coding RNA (222 nucleotides) under plant metagenome. Its description in RNAcentral is "partial contains small subunit ribosomal RNA, internal transcribed spacer 1, and 5.8S ribosomal RNA". The record is from RNAcentral.
GCUCCGUAGGUGAACCUGCGGAGGGAUCAUUACAGAGUUCAUGCCCUCACGGGUAGAUCUCCCACCCUGUGUCAUUAUACUUUGUUGCUUUGGCAGGCCGCCCGCGUGGGCUACCGGCUCCAGCUGGUAAGUGCCUGCCAGAGGACCCCAAACUCUGAAUAUUUUAUUGUCUGAGUACUAUAUAAUAGUUUAAAACUUUCAACAACGGAUCUCUUGGUUCUG